UCCCUGGAGGACUAGUGGUUAGGCCAUGGUGCUCUCACCGCUGUGGCCCGGGUUUGAUUCCCGGCCGAAGGGAA
This 74-nucleotide transfer RNA is filed under the name Pangasianodon gigas (Mekong giant catfish). Its description in RNAcentral is "tRNA-Glu". Lineage: Eukaryota; Metazoa; Chordata; Actinopteri; Siluriformes; Pangasiidae. The record is from RNAcentral.